Molecule: long non-coding RNA, 183 nt
Organism: Melanotaenia boesemani (Boeseman's rainbowfish)
Lineage: Eukaryota; Metazoa; Chordata; Actinopteri; Atheriniformes; Melanotaeniidae
Exons: 4
Source: RefSeq, a predicted model, not a curated record
UUGUUAUGUAAAAUAUUUGUUUAGGUGUGUGACAACGCCACCCAGGGGAAUUUCACCCCCGGGAACCUUCUAGCUCUUAAAAGUAAGAGCUAGGUUGAUAUCAUGAGCAGAGUCCGUUCCAAUUCACAAUAAUCUUUAUUUAAACAAUCAAAGUAAAAUGAACUGUCGGCGGGUAUUUAACAA